AAGAGCCCCUUCAUACUGCUGCUGGCCAUCGACCCUCAUAUCAUCAGCAAGGCUGUAGAGAUAAACAGCAAGCGGGCGUUUUCCGAAAGCAACAUCGGGGGGUGGGACUACCUGCGCAACAUGGUGCAGCUGCCCUUCUACCUGCAGAACUCUGCGCUGCGCCGCGUCAAGACUGCG
This is a long non-coding RNA of Papilio polytes (common Mormon), 177 nucleotides long. RefSeq lists it as uncharacterized. The record is from RefSeq and is a predicted model, not a curated record. NCBI's taxonomy places the organism in Eukaryota, Metazoa, Arthropoda, Insecta, Lepidoptera, Papilionidae. The transcript has 2 exons.